GUGUGCGCCUGCCGUGAGGCCAGCCUCAGAGAAGGGUGUCCCAGAUGUAGCCAAAGCGUCCUCCAUGUGUUCCUGGAGGACCGUCCCAAGCCCUUCUCCAUUCUCCCAACCUCUUGGGCCUGGAAGUCAGACAAGUACCGGUGAUUGCUGGUUUCUUUUCUGAUUUUUGCACUUCUCUGGCAAGCUGCCCCCUCUGAAGAGUUGACUAUUUGGGAGUUACUCACUGAUGGUUCAGCCACUUCCAGAACCUACCCCAAGAGCAAGACUUGAAACCAACUCGCACCCUCAAAGCUCCGGAAGCCAUUCAGUGUUUCCAUCUUGGCCGAGUGAGUUCUUCACUGAAACUCAAUUUGACUUUGACAGUCAUCUAAUGAGAACUCAAAAGUCAUUCUUGGUUCAGCCACAGUCAAAGAACUUGCAGAGCAUUCUCUGACGAGGUCCUCAAGGACAACUGAGAGAAGGUCCCAUUCCAGGUCUUGCCCAAGUCUUUCUGAUUGGUGGAACUUAAAUCACACCCAAAAUUCCAGCUGCAGGAGAGCUCUGAGAUUUCAUCUUUCCAACCUCUGUGUGCUACGUGGGGGUUGGAGCACUUGCUGACAAGCCUUGCAACCACCAUUGACAGGAUGUCCUCCACCUUUUCAAUCUGAUUUGCUCUUUGCCAUGCAGACCUGUGGAUGAAGAGCCAGAGUCCUCCAAGGUGAAGCUGGACUGAAUAUUUCUGUCCGUAAGACUAUUAGAAUCCCCCACAGUGGGAUACCAGUGAGGACCUCACCAGCAGCUGCUGUCUCUCCAAUGCAGCUCCACAGGGCCUGUGGACAGGGCUGUCUAUGAGAUCCUGCCCUGAAGAGCAGUACUGGGCUGCUCUGCUGGGCACCUGCAUGUCCUGCAAAGCCAUCUGCAACCAUCAGAGCCAGCGCACCUGUGCAGCCUCCUGCAGUGAGUUCUGGGACCUGAGCCCAGGGGACAGUGUGAUCACCCCCAACGCCUGUCCCCAGAGCACCCUCUGGCCCCACAGUCAGGUGGCUGAGGAGAGGAUGGCAGGAGGAGAUGUACAGUGUGGCACCUCUUAUCCCUCCACCUUCCUGCUCUGGCCACACUGCCUCCUUUCAGUGUUGAACAUGCCAUGUUCUUCCCUGCCUCGGGUUCUUUGCACAUGUUGUUCCCGCUGCCUGGAAUGCAUGCUGUCUAUCAUCUUCCCUCAGCUCCCUCCUACCCAACUUUCAGGUCUCGGCCCAAACAUCGGGGGUCUCCUCUGACCACACAGUAGUACUGGGCCCUCCUUUGUACUGCUAGUGUUACUUUCUUUUGAAACUUUUAAUUACAGAACUUACCACACAUAUACGAUAGAGAGGACUGCACAAUGAUGCCCUCCUCAUCCAUUACCAGCUUCACAAAUCAUUUAAAUUCUGCCUUGUACUUUCCCAACCAGUUGUUUUGGCUUGUGUAUUUUAAAGCAAAGCCAAGACCUCAUAUCAUUUUACCUGCAGAUACUGGGCCAUAAAGAUCUGUAAAACAUAACCCAAAUAUCCUAUCACUGCCAGCAAUAAUUUAUUAACAUCAUCUAAUAUUCAGGCCAUAUCCAAUUUUCCCUGAUUGUCUUGAAAACUAUCCAUUGCUUGCUGUUCUUUUUCAUAAUCUGUCUUUUUCCUUGAUAGAACUUACCGCAAUUU
RNAcentral lists this non-coding RNA (1670 nucleotides) under Pan troglodytes (chimpanzee). Lineage: Eukaryota; Metazoa; Chordata; Mammalia; Primates; Hominidae. The record is from RNAcentral.